This is a long non-coding RNA of Homo sapiens (human), 2633 nucleotides long. RefSeq lists it as uncharacterized. NCBI's taxonomy places the organism in Eukaryota, Metazoa, Chordata, Mammalia, Primates, Hominidae. The transcript has 3 exons. The record is from RefSeq and is a predicted model, not a curated record.
CGUGCACAGGAAGGGGUAACGUGCACAGGAAGGGGUAACGUGCACAGGAAGGUGUCAUCGCGGGCAGUGGGAAGCAGUGGGGUAACGUGCACAGGAAGGUGACGUCGCGGGCAGUGGGAAGCAGUGGGGUAACGUGCACAGGAAGGGGUAACGUGCACAGGAAGGGGUAACGUGCACAGGAAGGUGUCAUCGCGGGCAGUGGGAAGCAGUGGGGUAACGUGCACAGGAAGGCUAUUGUGAAUAAUACUGCUGUGAACAUGGGUGUACAAAUGCCUCUUCAAGACUGUUUUCAGUUUCCUUGAGUCUAUAGCCAGAAGUGGAGUUGCUGGAUCAUAUGAUUCUGACUCAGCAGGUCUGAGGCGGGGCCUGACAUUCUGCACGGCUGGCCUGCUCCGGGCGCUGCUGAUGCUGCUGGUUCCUGGACCACCCUUGAGACCCUGGAUGACCUCUGAGGUGCUGCCUCCUUGCAAAAACCCUCAGCUCUUGGGACCUCUCCCUGCGCUUCCGAAGCCCUUUCAGAUAUUUUCCUGUAGCCCUCACAAAGAGCUUGGGGUUGCGGUUUCUGCCGCUGUUGACUCUCACGUGGGUAAGGCCAUUUUCAUUUAAUUUUUUGAAGCUUUUCUAGAGCCCAAGCUCCCUAAGGAUGGGGAAUUCAUCUCACCCAACACUUGGCAUCCCCUAGAGAACCUAGUCCAGUGCUGUGCUGUCUUCUCAAUACUGUUUGUUAGAGGAAUAAUAAUAACAGCCCUCAUAUGUGUGAACACUUCACAGUUCACAGGCACUUUCAUAUGCUUAAUUCAUUACUUGCCAUUUCUCUUCCGAUGAAACCAGCAGUUCCUCUUGGCUUACGUGCUAGGCGUGAAUUUCCUCGUUUUUAUCCUCACAACAAUCCUGUGAAUUACACAGGGCAGGUAUUAGCCUGCCUGCCAAGAAGGGGACACUAUUGUUUGUAGAAACAUUAAGCAUGCUGCCCAAGGUGUCCUAGGGGACAAUGGCAAGCCUGGGAUCUGUUUCCAGGUUGCUGCUGCCAUCUCCCUAGAAGAGAGUUGGGACCACCAGCAGGAGUAGGGACUUGGGCUCCAGAUGGUGUCCGCUUCUUCUCACUGGGCCAUUCCAGUGGUGGCUGGCCAGUGUUUCUGGUGCCAGCCCUGUGGGCCUCCCUGCCUGCAUCCUACCUGGGCCAAUGCCCCAUGGCGCAGGUGACCUCCACAUGGCUUCUUUUCUAUCCUUUGCAUUGAAGGCCCUUGCACUGCAGGAUAACAGCUCAGAGGACUGGAUUUCUGGUCCUAGCUCUGUUACUUCUGACCAUGGAGCCAUAGACCAGGCACCAACUGAGUUUUGGUUUCCUCUUCUGUAAAAUUUGGAUGAUGCUGUAUGCCCAGCUGGGCCUCUGGGCUUCAUGAGCCCACACCAAUAGCGCUCUGUGGAAAUGCUUUGUGCAUGCAAAGAGACGUACAUGCUACUUCUUCAUCAAGCGUGUACACUGUAAAACAGAAAGGCUUUUUUAUUUUCAAAGUUUGGGUAUUUACACAGAGGCCCUUGCAUAUGCGUGAUCAUUUCAGUGGCUCAUUUGUUUGUCUUGCUGUGUAUAAUAGUAAGACACAAGCCCCUCCUGAAGCCAUCGGCAGUCUCCUCACUGCUUUGAAAGUUGAUUUCCUUUGUCAUCCUUACUUCCUAAGGGUUAGCCUGAGUCAUCCAGCAUCAGGAUGCCAGCUUUGCGUUAGAAGUUAAUUAUUCUUCUUUAUCAUAUUGAGGACACUUAAUUUUUUUAGUGAUUUACUCUGCUUUGUAAUUAUAGAUGUGGUGAUUAGAAUGUCUUAUAUUUGACAUUACAGAUUUUUAAAAACAUGAUUUAUUCCCACCACUGAUUUAAAACUCUUCCUUUGUAAGUUUUUAUUCCUGCUUGUGUGACAGUGUUUAGGGACUCCGGCCGGGCCUGGUGCCUCUGCAGGGGCUAUUAGAGGCGCUGUGUACAUAUAUAAUUAAGGAAUUUCAAAACACAAAUGACUGCCUUUGGGGCCAAUAGCCACUGCAGUUUCCAUCUAUCAUGUCAGCCCUGGAGAUGGUUGUGUAUUUGGUAAAGUAAAUUAACAUACAACAACUUUGCUUAAAAUAAUGUUCAAAUUUAAGAUGUAGCAAGAAGCAGGAAAAACAAACAAUAAAGGGAUCCAGGGAGAGCGAAAAUCACAUAUUUAAAUGCGAACAAAAUCUUUGCCUGGUGCCUUUAUCACCUGUGGGUUACAGCAUAAAGCCACCUGAAGACCCGGAUUCCUUCUUCACCUCCUUUUGUUUUCUGGCCAAACUUUCUGUUCGAUUUGCACCAUCUCUGAGCAGACCUUGGGUUUGGAAGGGACCUUUGGAGCCUCAUCUUUGUCACGUAUUUUGUCCUUUGAAAAUGUAUUAUAGAGAUAAUGGAACAUCAUUUCAGAGUUUCGGAAAUGGGAGAGAAAUCUCCCAGCAGCCCAGCAGUUGAAGAGGAGCUGCCUCAAAUACCAGCCCAACGGGAGGCCUGUCUCUGGCUUUUAUGUUCAAGCUGGGACUCUUGGCCUCAGAAGCCUGCUUCUGGUCUUGAAAGUUGGUCCCUUCCCAGCAUUAUAGCAUUAAAAAAAUUUUUUUUUUGCCACCAAUAAAAC